RNAcentral lists this ribosomal RNA (358 nucleotides) under Varibaculum cambriense. RNAcentral's name for it is "partial 23S ribosomal RNA". It matches the Rfam family "Bacterial large subunit ribosomal RNA", at positions 2551 to 2925 of the family's 2925-position model. The record is from RNAcentral. Lineage: Bacteria; Bacillati; Actinomycetota; Actinomycetes; Actinomycetales; Actinomycetaceae.
GGCUGGAGUUGGUCCCAAGGGUUGGGCUGUUCGCCCAUUAAAGCGGUACGCGAGCUGGGUUCAGAACGUCGUGAGACAGUUCGGUCCCUAUCCGCUGCGCGCGUUAAGACUUGAGAAAGUCCUGUCCCUAGUACGAGAGGACCGGGAUGGACGAACCUCUGGUGUGCCAGUUGUACCGCCAGGUGCAUGGCUGGUUGGCUAUGUUCGGAAAGGAUAACCGCUGAAAGCAUCUAAGCGGGAAGCCUGCUUUAAGAUGAGGUCUUUUAGGUUCCCAGCAGACUACUGGGUAGAUAGGCCAGAAGUGUACACGUUGUAAAACGCAAAGCUGACUGGUACUAAACAACCAUUAAAAAACAAA